This 253-nucleotide ribosomal RNA is filed under the name uncultured bacterium. Its description in RNAcentral is "partial 16S ribosomal RNA". It matches the Rfam family "Bacterial small subunit ribosomal RNA", at positions 524 to 776 of the family's 1533-position model. The record is from RNAcentral.
UACGAAGGGAGCUAGCGUUGUUCGGAAUCACUGGGCGUAAAGCGCACGUAGGCGGAUGUGUCAGUCAGGGGUGAAAUCCCGGAGCUCAACUUCGGAACUGCCUUUGAUACAGCACGUCUUGAGUCCGAUAGAGGUGGGUGGAAUUCCUAGUGUAGAGGUGAAAUUCGUAGAUAUUAGGAAGAACACCGGUGGCGAAGGCGGCCCGCUGGAUCGGUACUGACGCUGAGGUGCGAAAGCGUGGGGAGCAAACAGG